UUUUUAUGUUAAUGUGGUGACUUGGGUAGUAUUAGAUUAUUCUUGAAACUUAAAGAAUUUGGCGGUGUUUUAUUUCUUUUUAGAGGAAUCUGUCCCAUAAUCGAUAGUCCGCGAUGAACCUUACUUUUUAUAAUUUAGUUUAUAUACCGUCGUUGAUGAAAAUUUUUUUAGAAUUAAUGAAUUUUCUUAAUUUCUUAUUAUAUUAUAUUUCAGAUCAAGGUGUAGCUUAUUAAUAUAGUGGAGAUGGAUUACAAUUAUUUAUUUUAAUUAUGGAUUUAAUUGGUAUGUAAUUAUUUUGAAGGUGGAUUUAAUAGUAAUUUUAUAUAGAUUAUUAAAAUGAAUUAGGCUCUGGAACAUGU
This 359-nucleotide ribosomal RNA is filed under the name Ectobiidae sp. 22 FL-2016. Its description in RNAcentral is "12S ribosomal RNA". Lineage: Eukaryota; Metazoa; Arthropoda; Insecta; Blattodea; Ectobiidae. The record is from RNAcentral.